AUUGAACGCUGGCGGCAUGCCUUACACAUGCAAGUCGAACGGCAGCACGGGGCAACCUGGUGGCGAGUGGCGAACGGGUGAGUAAUGUAUCGGAACGUACCAUUCAGUGGGGGAUAACGUAGCGAAAGUUACGCUAAUACCGCAUAUUCUGUGAGCAGGAAAGCAGGGGAUCGCAAGACCUUGCGCUGAUUGAGCGGCCGAUAUCAGAUUAGCUAGUUGGUGAGGUAAAAGCUCACCAAGGCGACGAUCUGUAGCGGGUCUGAGAGGAUGAUCCGCCACACUGGAACUGAGACACGGUCCAGACUCCUACGGGAGGCAGCAGUGGGGAAUUUUGGACAAUGGGGGUAACCCUGAUCCAGCCAUGCCGCGUGAGUGAAGAAGGCCUUCGGGUUGUAAAGCUCUUUCGGCCGGGAAGAAAUCGCGCCAGUUAAUACCUGGUGUGGAUGACGGUACCGGAAUAAGAAGCACCGGCUAACUACGUG
Molecule: ribosomal RNA, 482 nt
Filed under: uncultured bacterium
Lineage: Bacteria
Description: bacterial SSU rRNA
Rfam family: Bacterial small subunit ribosomal RNA
Source: RNAcentral